This 425-nucleotide ribosomal RNA is filed under the name uncultured bacterium. RNAcentral describes it as "partial 16S ribosomal RNA". It matches the Rfam family "Bacterial small subunit ribosomal RNA", at positions 354 to 796 of the family's 1533-position model. The record is from RNAcentral.
GUUAGGAAUAUUGGACAAUGGGCGCAAGCCUGAUCCAGCCAUGCCGCGUGAGUGAUGAAGGCCUUCGGGUUGUAAAGCUCUUUAGCCGAUGAAUAUAAUGACUGUAGUCGGAAAAUAAGCCCCGGCUAACUUCGUGCCAGCAGCCGCGGUAAUACGAAGGGGGCGAGCGUUAUUCGGAAUCACUGGGCGUAAAGCGUGCGUUGGCGGCUUUGCAAGUUAGGGGUGAAAGCCCGGGGCUCAACCCUGGAAUUGCUCUGAAAACUGCAAGGCUAGAAUUCGGGGGAGGAUAGCGGAAUUGUCAGUGUAGCAGUGAAAUGCGUAGAUAUUGACAGGAACACCAGUGGCGUAAGCGGCUAUCUGGACCGAUAUUGACGCUGAGGCACGAAAGCGUGGGGAUCAAACAGGAUUAGAUACCCCAGUAGUCC